CCUACGGGUGGCAGCAGUGAGGAAUAUUGGUCAAUGGGAGAGAUCCUGAACCAGCCAAGCCGCGUGAGGGAAGACGGCCCUAUGGGUUGUAAACCUCUUUUGUCGGAGAACAAAACCCGGGACGAGUCCCGGACUGCGUGUAUCCGAAGAAAAAGCAUCGGCUAACUCCGUGCCAGCAGCCGCGGUAAUACGGAGGAUGCGAGCGUUAUCCGGAUUUAUUGGGUUUAAAGGGUGCGCAGGCGGGCUGUUAAGCCGGCGGUAAAAAUUCAGGGCUCAACCCUGUCGAGCCGUCGGAACUGGCAGUCUUGAGUGGGCGAGAAGUAUGCGGAAUGCGUGGUGUAGCGGUGAAAUGCAUAGAUAUCACGCAGAACGCCGAUUGCGAAGGCAGCAUACCGGCGCCCAACUGACGCUGAGGCACGAAAGCGUGGGGAUCGAACAGGAUUAGAUACCCCAGUAGUC
Molecule: ribosomal RNA, 459 nt
Filed under: uncultured bacterium
Lineage: Bacteria
Description: partial 16S ribosomal RNA
Rfam family: Bacterial small subunit ribosomal RNA
Source: RNAcentral